CAUUUAUGGAGAGUUUGAUCCUGGCUCAGGACGAACGCUGGCGGCGUGCUUAACACAUGCA
Molecule: ribosomal RNA, 61 nt
Filed under: Actinomycetota bacterium
Lineage: Bacteria; Bacillati; Actinomycetota
Description: Actinobacteria bacterium partial 16S ribosomal RNA
Rfam family: Bacterial small subunit ribosomal RNA
Source: RNAcentral